Callithrix jacchus (white-tufted-ear marmoset) is the source of this 2878-nucleotide long non-coding RNA. RefSeq lists it as uncharacterized. The record is from RefSeq and is a predicted model, not a curated record. NCBI's taxonomy places the organism in Eukaryota, Metazoa, Chordata, Mammalia, Primates, Cebidae.
GAGGCCAUGAGGCUACAAAUGCUCCUGCAAAUGGAACCCCAGAUGUCCUUGGCUCAUGAGUUCCAUCGUGGACCUCUGGAUCAAACUGCACCCCUGGAAGACUCCCCUCUGGAGGAACCUUAACUGCAGGGCGCCUUCUAUGCCCCAGUUCAGCAGGCAGUGAAGAAAACUAGCAUUCGAGAAGAUGACUUUGAAAAUGGUUCCACAUGUCUUCUGCCUGGCCAAGUACUCCUGUUAACUGUAAAAAGCCAAGAGCAAGCUAUGAAUAAAUGCUGUGAAAAUUUAAAGACAGAAGAGAAGAGAAAGGGGAAAGGAGGGCUUUUGGAAUGGAUCCUUCACUCAGCAACCUCCUGGGUAACAAAGUAGAUGUCAGAGCUUCCGUCUCAUUCCAUACUUCUCUCCCCCAGAUUCUAUCCCAACAGAUGUUUUCAGUACAAAGGUGUUUGCAGUUCUUGACAUUUUGCAGACAUGCCAAGGAGAUUAAUUACAAUAAUUUCUCCUGCAACUGAGAUUAUAUAUAAAAUGAUUCUAGGUCAUCACUUGCAUUCUAGCAAAUGCCAAUUGAACUACUAUAUGAAAAGCCAAUUUAUUAGUUGACCACUAAUAAUGAAGGACAUAUAGAAGAGUAUAAAUUUGCAUUUAUAACAGAGAUGGGAUGAAAAUUCUAUCUUUAGUAGCUAAGAAGAUGAAUGAGUAAAAGUAUGAUAGAUACAAAUAGCAGGGUUCAUUACACAAUAAGAGGAUAUUAUCAGACAUAUGAUGAAGAUAAAUUCUACUGCAUGUCAGAGGCAUCAUGUUAUUACCUCUAAUCUAUCAUCUUGUUAAUGUUAUUUCUAUGGAAACAUUAAAAGAAAUUAAACUACUAAAACCUGCAAACAGGCUUGACAGCUACAUGCAACAAAAGAAAAAAUACCAAGAUUUUGCUGAAAUAUUUGCCACAUUUUAGCAAGUAACAUCGAAUACUAGCAGCCAAUGUUCAGAUGAUGAGGCCAUGCAGAGGUAUAAACAAAACCACAUAUAUAAAGAUGUUUUCAUUGUUCUUGUUAGACAGCAGUAAUUAAUGUAUUUAUAUUGAUAUAUUCAUGAAAAAAUUGUAAUUUAGGAUUUUCUUGUUCUAACAGGUGCAACUCAAUUCAAUAUAAAAAGAAUUUUCAUGACUUUACCAAUAUAUAUAAGAAUAUUGGUGUCCAUUGCUUAUUAAAGCAGGCUUUAAUACUCUGAAUGGCUUCCAUUUACUGGUGUGGGUUAGUGGAGUUUAUUUUUGCACUUAUCUUGGAUGUAGAAUAGCUUUAUCUGGAUAUAUAAAGCCUGCUUUUUUCCUGAUUUUCACUCCUAUCUCAUACUGUCCAGUGAAGAGAGAAGCUCCCCAGACCUCCUUGUGUAUGUUUUUGUAGGUGUCUGUGCAUGCAUGUGCCUGGGAGUGUGGGAGGGACCUUGAAGGUCCCCAUAUGCUUCCUAUUUUAACCCACAAACACAAUUUCUAUCCCAAGGGGAUGGUACAAUUUUUGUUUGUUUCUCCACUAUACUUACCUAAGGAAAAAAAAAAACAAUAGGAGUGAUAAGUAGAGAGGUUCCCUUUUCCUUUUUUUCUGAAAUUGUAUAUAAAAUAAAGCUAAUUAUAAUAAAACUGAAAGUCAUGAGAAAAAGGAAAUGAGAAUCAAAAUUUAACUUUGAAAAUUUUGCUGUGAGUUGGUCCUUGGCCAUGGAGGCACCACCGUGUUCUUUAUCACUAUUUAUUUAUCAUGAAAUAAGGUGAAGUUCAAGUUCUCCUGAGCCAGGACUAUAACAUGUUUUAUUCUUUUGGUAUUUAUAACAAACCUUGUGACACGCAGAUGAAAGAUGCUGAGAACGGUACAUGACAACAGCUAAUAUUAUUCCUUUUUCCCUGGAGGUGAAGCAGUUGAGUUUUCUAAUAUAAAGAAGAAAUCAUGACAAGAACUUCACUAAAUGGCUAGAUUUUUUUUUUAACAUGAAUUCAACUUGUAGCAACAGAUCCAAGUCAAUCAGUUUAAUUAUUUGGAGACUAGGCUGUUGUGGACAAUCAUUCAAGGGGUGAUUUUUAUGGAAUUUUUAAUAUGAAUGAUACUAUUCCCAGAGGGAUUUAAUUUUUGUAAACCAGUCAUCAAUUGUUUUGAAUAGGUCUGUGGUAUCACACGUCAAUGAUGAAAGCUCUUCUGAAGCUGGAGAAGUGAAAUAAUUGUUGUGUUACCAUUACUCAUGAAGACAUGUUCUGAACUCAUUGAAUAUAUUAGAUUUAGAAGUUGUCAUUCCGGGCUGUUCAGUAAUAUUGCCUGGAAGUGUUAAUGACUUGUAGGGGUGAAGGCAAAUUUUUUCCUCUGCACUCUAAAGGUUUGCUAUAAAUGAGCUACCAAAGGCAGAUUCACAGGAGAAAAAGGCAUAGAGAGUAUAUUUAAUGUGCAUAAACCUGGAAGCCAUACAGGAAGUGUGAGAUUUAAAGGGGACCAGAUGUUUGAGGCUUAAAUAGCCUCUUCAUAGAGAAAAGAUGUACGGUCUCAGGAGGCAGGCAUUAUAAGUUGACUAUCUCUUAUCUUAAAUACUUGGGGCCAAAAGUGUUUCAGAUUUCAGAUAUUUGUAGAUUUUGGAAUAUUUUCACAUAUAUAAUGAGAUAUCUUGGCGGUAAGACCCAAGUCUAAGCAUGAAACUUACUUAUAUUUCACAUAUCCCUUAUAUAGAGAGAGACCACCUUCAGGCAAUUAUAGACAUACUUUCAAAACUUUGUUCAUGACACAAUGUUUGUGUACAUUGAACUAUCAGAAAACAAAUGUUAACAAAUGGGUGUUUGGUCUCUACCUACAAUGCUGUGCUUUAAUUGAAAGGUGAGCGCACACUAUAAAUAUAUAUAUGUGUGUGUGUGUGU